ACGUGAUCUGAGUUCAGACCGGAGUAAUCCAGGUCGGUUUCUAUCUAUAAGGGGCUUUUUCUAGUACGAAAGGACCGAAAAAGCACGGCCCAUGCUCAAGGUAAGCCGCACCUACCAAUUUAUGACUCAAACUUAAUAACCAACUAACCUUCUACUGAAUUCUAAACAAGAAUA
RNAcentral lists this ribosomal RNA (174 nucleotides) under Quilticohyla sanctaecrucis. RNAcentral describes it as "partial 16S ribosomal RNA". Lineage: Eukaryota; Metazoa; Chordata; Amphibia; Anura; Hylidae. The record is from RNAcentral.